CCUACGGGCGGCAACAGUGAGGAAUAUUGGUCAAUGGCCGGAAGCCUGAACCAGCCAAGCCGCGUGAAGGACGAAGGUGCCAAGCAUUGUAAACUUCUUUUGUCAAGGGACAAAAUCAGGCUCGAGAGCCUGACCGAGGGUACCUGAAGAAAAAGCAUCGGCUAACUCCGUGCCAGCAGCCGCGGUAAUACGGAGGAUGCGAGCGUUAUCCGGAUUUAUUGGGUUUAAAGGGUGCGGAGGCGGGCUGUUCAGUCAGCGGUAAAAGCCCGGGGCUCAACCCCGGCGAGCCGUUGAAACUGGCUGUCUUGAGAUGUCGAGAGGUAUGCGGAAUGCGCAGUGUAGCGGUGAAAUGCUUAGAUAUUGCGCAGAACUCCGAUUGCGAAGGCAGCAUACCGGCGGCGGUCUGACGCUGAGGCACGAAAGCGUGGGUAUCGAACAGGAUUAGAUACCCUAGUAGUC
Molecule: ribosomal RNA, 459 nt
Filed under: uncultured bacterium
Lineage: Bacteria
Description: partial 16S ribosomal RNA
Rfam family: Bacterial small subunit ribosomal RNA
Source: RNAcentral